RNAcentral lists this RNase P RNA (408 nucleotides) under Lautropia sp. RNAcentral's name for it is "RNase P RNA component class A". It matches the Rfam family "Bacterial RNase P class A". From Rfam's summary of the family: Ribonuclease P (RNase P) is a ubiquitous endoribonuclease, found in archaea, bacteria and eukarya as well as chloroplasts and mitochondria. Its best characterised activity is the generation of mature 5'-ends of tRNAs by cleaving the 5'-leader elements of precursor-tRNAs. Lineage: Bacteria; Pseudomonadati; Pseudomonadota; Betaproteobacteria; Burkholderiales; Burkholderiaceae. The record is from RNAcentral.
GGAGCGGGUCGGACGGUCGCCGGGGCUUUGGUCCCGGAGGAAGGUCCGGACUCCAUCGGGCAGGAUGCUGGCUAACGGCCAGGCGCAGCAAGCCGGUUCACGCCGGCCCAAGGCGACGGAAAGUGGCACAGAAAAUAUACCGCCGCCCGGGCGCAAGCCUGGGCGGUAAGGGUGAAAUGGCGAGGUAAGAGCUCACCGCAUUGCUGGCGACGGCAAUGGCAGGCCAAACCCCAUCCGGAGCAACAUCAAAUAGGCACGCGAUGCGGCUGCACCUCGGUGAAGCCGCGCAGAGCGCCCACUCGAGCGUGCGGGUAGAUGGCUAGAGCCGGCGGGUAACCGCCGGUCCAGAGGAAUGACCGUCGCGCCGGCAACGGCGGACAGAAUCCGGCCUACAGACCCGCUCCAUUC